AUAUUCAUUCAAUGUAUCAUCUUCCUCUUCCGAAGUAUCAUAUAUAACAUUAUUCAUAUUUUUAUUUAUUGUUUCCACAUCUAUUUGUAAUGCUUCAUUUUCAAUAAUAUCUAGAUCAAUAUCUCCUCUAUGGCAUACUUGAGUGCCAAGAUCUUCCUACUGUAUUGGCAAGACAAUAUUUGAUGAUUCAUUUUCCUAAAAUAUUACUUGCUCACUACUGCCAUCAUUUUUUUCUGGAAUGUCCCAUAUGCCUCUAUGUUGUACCUUUUCCACUACCUUCCACUGUGGACCCAACAAAAGAUCAUCCAUAUAAAAUACUUGUUGUGCUUGGAUGCCAAGUAUAUAGGAAUCAUCCAUGUACCAUUUACGAUUCACAUUGAUAGAAGAAAGAUGGUAAUCUAUGAUUGUU
RNAcentral lists this long non-coding RNA (409 nucleotides) under Olea europaea (common olive). RNAcentral's name for it is "long non-coding RNA (OEUR_LNC003553)". Lineage: Eukaryota; Viridiplantae; Streptophyta; Magnoliopsida; Lamiales; Oleaceae. The record is from RNAcentral.